Chroicocephalus ridibundus (black-headed gull) is the source of this 1588-nucleotide long non-coding RNA. RefSeq lists it as uncharacterized. Lineage: Eukaryota; Metazoa; Chordata; Aves; Charadriiformes; Laridae. The transcript has 5 exons. The record is from RefSeq and is a predicted model, not a curated record.
UCCUGUUCAGCUUUUAAGUUAGAACAUACUAGUCCUCCCUUGGCAUCUGAACCUGUUAUUUAAAGUGGGAAGUAAUACUGGAAACCGCAGCAUUGCAAGAUUUUAACUUCACAGCUGAAAUUGAAGAACUGACCCAGAGAGCUGUGCCUGGCUAGUUUUCUGACCUCUGUUAGAGUUCACGUCAUCUCCUGUAAAGCCAGAGUGGGAUCUCACAGCAUGGGACCAUGAAGACUCCAUCCAAAACUGAAAGCUUUCUCCUGCCGACAGGUCUGCUGAGCGACUGAGCCCCCAGCCACAGCCAUCUCCUGGCAUAUGCAGAGACUCUGGUUUUGAAACUGCGGAAGUUCCAGAGAGGUAGAAGAAUGCUCGUCAGAAGAACGCGUGAGAUCACCAGUAUCCAGAAGUGUAAAAGUGUAAGGAAACUGAAACUGGCAGUAUGCACUGGCUCACUUUAGAAUUGCUUUUGCUCUCAUCUAAACCCAAAAUGAAACUGUUUGUGUUUUGGGAUUAUUCUUCCGUUCUCAUGACCUCAUCAUCCCACGUUACCUGGAUGGUUGAACUGCAGUUUGCCGGCUUUCUUCUUUAUGUGACUAAUGACCACCAGGAAGGGCUUCACAGCAGCUUGGUUUGUUACUAGAUCCAGAAAAUAUGUGGGUUUGCCUACAAGGACAAUGUGGGCAUUUUAAGAGCAUGUGAAAUAUAACUUCUCCAAAUAAAUAGCAACAGAUUCCAGCUAUGUCUAUAUACAGGAUGAUGAAAGGAUGGGAGUUCGCAUUAUCUGACUAGAAUAUUGCAGAAGAAGCAAUGAGGUUUGUGCAUUAUGAAAAGACAGAAGAGAGAUGUCUGAUCAUGUGCAAUUGGGGGAUAGGAAAUUAAUUUUACAGCACACUUCAGAAAGUCUAUGAAAAGGAGAAGUUAUCUUUGAAGCGAUCUCUUCCUCAGUGGGAAAGUAUUAUAUAUGUGCAAAUCAUGGCCUUUCUUGGCUUUAACUGGUAUCACCAAAGCAGUGUUUUAAGUAAACCAGUCCUGUUUCCAUCACUUCCAAGCAUUAAACCACGAUGGUAUUGGCGUCCAUUCAAGCUGUAAGCCUGGCGUGGAAGGCUACCUAAUUCAACCUGCACACAUGGAUUAUGCACCCUACAUGUAAAGUCUUUGAUCCGUGAUAAAACCAAUAUUUGCUGAUUUGUUCUGCACUGUCCAUUGAAACAAAUGCAUUUCAAAAUACAUAUUGUAUUUUAUCUGACAUCUAACUAGAAGAGUUUGCUGGACAACACUUGAAUGAGGGAAAUGAAAUAGAUAUGUUUACAGUUUCUCAAUAAUCAGAAGUUUCAAAUACAAUAUACUAUUUUACAAGUCUUUAAUGUGGUUCGAUUUGCAAGCCUCUGUGGAGAGUCUAAGAAGACAAAGAUGUUGGAAAUAAGAGUUUCUUCUUCCAAGCAGGAAAAAAAAGAAGCGGAACUGAGUAAGGUCACACAAAAAAAGGGCUCUGGGGUGUUUAUCUCUCUCUAACACAUCCACUGGGACACUUUGAACUCACUCUCCCACUGACUGCAAGGUCUUUUUGACAGAGACUGGAGGUGUCUGCUUA